AAUCCAUAGGUUAAUGAGGCGAACCGGGGGAACUGAAACAUCUAAGUACCCCGAGGAAAAGAAAUCAACCGAGAUUCCCCCAGUAGCGGCGAGCGAACGGGGAGGAGCCCAGAGCCUGAAUCAGCAUGUGUGUUAGUGGAAGCGUCUGGAAAGGCGCGCGAUACAGGGUGACAGCCCCGUACACAAAAGCGCAUGUGCUGUGAGCUCGAUGAGUAGGGCGGGACACGUGGUAUCCUGUCUGAAUAUGGGGGGACCAUCCUCCAAGGCUAAAUACUCCUGACUGACCGAUAGUGAACCAGUACCGUGAGGGAAAGGCGAAAAGAACCCCGGCGAGGGGAGUGAAAAAGAACCUGAAACCGUGUACGUACAAGCAGUGGGAGCACAGGUUUACCUGUGUGACUGCGUACCUUUUGUAUAAUGGGUCAGCGACUUAUAUUCUGUAGCAAGGUUAACCGAAUAGGGGAGCCGGAGGGAAACCGAGUCUUAAUUGGGCGUUAAGUUGCAGGGUAUAGACCCGAAACCCGGUGAUCUAGCCAUGGGCAGGUUGAAGGUUGGGUAACACUAACUGGAGGACCGAACCGACUAAUGUUGAAAAAUUAGCGGAUGACCUGUGGCUGGGGGUGAAAGGCCAAUCAAACCGGGAGAUAGCUGGUUCUCCCCGAAAGCUAUUUAGGUAGCGCCUCGUGAAUUCAUCUCCGGGGGUAGAGCACUGUUUCGGCUAGGGGGCCAUCCCGGCUUACCAACCCGAUGCAAACUGCGAAUACCGGAGAAUGUUAUCACGGGAGACACACGGCGGGUGCUAACGUCCGUCGUGAAGAGGGAAACAACCCAGACCGCCAGCUAAGGUCCCAAAGUCAUGGUUAAGUGGGAAACGAUGUGGGAAGGCCCAGACAGCCAGGAUGUUGGCUUAGAAGCAGCCAUCAUUUAAAGAAAGCGUAAUAGCUCACUGGUCGAGUCGGCCUGCGCGGAAGAUGUAACGGGGCUAAACCAUGCACCGAAGCUGCGGCAGCGACACUGUGUGUUGUUGGGUAGGG
RNAcentral lists this ribosomal RNA (1034 nucleotides) under Salmonella enterica subsp. enterica serovar Enteritidis. RNAcentral's name for it is "partial 23S ribosomal RNA". It matches the Rfam family "Bacterial large subunit ribosomal RNA", at positions 161 to 1233 of the family's 2925-position model. Lineage: Bacteria; Pseudomonadati; Pseudomonadota; Gammaproteobacteria; Enterobacterales; Enterobacteriaceae. The record is from RNAcentral.